AGACAGCAGUAGCCGCGGUAAUACGGAGGGUGCAAGCGUUAAUCGGAAUUACUGGGCGUAAAGCGUGCGUAGGCGGCUUCUUAAGUCGGAUGUGAAAUCCCUGAGCUUAACUUAGGAAUUGCAUUCGAUACUGGGAAGCUAGAGUAUGGGAGAGGAUGGUAGAAUUCCAGGUGUAGCGGUGAAAUGCGUAGAGAUCUGGAGGAAUACCGAUGGCGAAGGCAGCCAUCUGGCCUAAUACUGACGCUGAGGUACGAAAGCAUGGGGAGCAAACAGGAUUAGAUACCCGCGUAGUCCCUGUCUCUUAUAC
This 307-nucleotide ribosomal RNA is filed under the name uncultured bacterium. RNAcentral's name for it is "partial 16S ribosomal RNA". It matches the Rfam family "Bacterial small subunit ribosomal RNA", at positions 506 to 807 of the family's 1533-position model. The record is from RNAcentral.